GGAAGUUCUUGCAUCACCUGGUAGAACAAAUCUAUACUAUCUUCAUAGCUUGUCAAAAACGAAGAUACAAGUCCAUCCUCUAGCAUUGGUAAUCUAUAGCCAUCUUGGUCUGCUACAAAAGGUUGGGUCCAGAAAUCUUCACUUGUAUUUUCAAAUGUUUCAAAUGAAGGGAGGCUAUCUUCCGCAAUCCAGUCUGAACUUGAACUUGUACUAGAUACUGUAACCAGUGCAGAAUCUGAGGUCCAGUGGGAAAGCUCGCUAGAAGAAGGCUCUGGGGAUAAUGGAGAGCUUUCCAAUAUUCCGUGUGAAGGAGUAUCUGGGACAAAUUUCUCAACUUUCAGAUCUCCAUUCUUGCUGAUGACCUCACAUUGAGAAGUUUCACUUGGUUGCUCCAUUGAGUAAUCUUCUUUCAAUCCAGGUUCACUAUUGCUUUCCUUUGUGAGUUUCUUCAGAUGGGUGUGCCAGUAAUUUUUGAUCUCAUUGUCUGUUCUUCCCGGUAAUUGUGCAGCUAUCCUUGACCAUUUAUUUCCUAAUUGUUUAUGUAAUUUGAUNNNNNNAUCCUCUUCUUCUUUGGAGUAGUUUCCAUGUUUUACACCCGAACGAAGGUAGUUCAUCCAUCUCAAUCUGCAACUCUUGCCACAUCUUUGUAGUCCUGCAUAUUUG
RNAcentral lists this unclassified non-coding RNA (663 nucleotides) under Hevea brasiliensis (rubber tree). Lineage: Eukaryota; Viridiplantae; Streptophyta; Magnoliopsida; Malpighiales; Euphorbiaceae. The record is from RNAcentral.